This 304-nucleotide ribosomal RNA is filed under the name uncultured bacterium. RNAcentral describes it as "partial 16S ribosomal RNA". It matches the Rfam family "Bacterial small subunit ribosomal RNA", at positions 506 to 807 of the family's 1533-position model. The record is from RNAcentral.
CAGCAGUAGCCGCGGUAAAACGAAGGGGGCUAGCGUUGCUCGGAAUUACUGGGCGUAAAGGGAGCGUAGGCGGACAUUUAAGUCAGGGGUGAAAUCCCGGGGCUCAACCUCGGAAUUGCCUUUGAUACUGGGUGUCUUGAGUAUGAGAGAGGUAUGUGGAACUCCGAGUGUAGAGGUGAAAUUCGUAGAUAUUCGGAAGAACACCAGUGGCGAAGGCGACAUACUGGCUCAUUACUGACGCUGAGGCUCGAAAGCGUGGGGAGCAAACAGGAUUAGAUACCCGUGUAGUCCCUGUCUCUUAUAC